RNAcentral lists this unclassified non-coding RNA (261 nucleotides) under Stereum sanguinolentum. RNAcentral's name for it is "partial internal transcribed spacer region". The stretch from base 1 to 46 matches the Rfam family "Eukaryotic small subunit ribosomal RNA", at positions 1786 to 1831 of the family's 1831-position model. The record is from RNAcentral. Lineage: Eukaryota; Fungi; Basidiomycota; Agaricomycetes; Russulales; Stereaceae.
AAGUCGUAACAAGGUUUCCGUAGGUGAACCUGCGGAAGGAUCAUUAAUGAAAUUUAUGACUGGAGUUGUAGCUGGCCCUUAAAAACGGCAUGUGCACGCUCCUUUCACUAAUCCACACACACCUGUGUGCACCUUCGCGGGGGUCUUCUUUUCGGAGAAGGCUCGCGUCCCUUUACACACCCUUUGUAUGUCUUAAGAAUGUCUACUCGAUGUAAUAAAACGCAUCUAAUACAACUUUCAACAACGGAUCUCUUGGCUCUC